Molecule: long non-coding RNA, 246 nt
Filed under: Capsicum annuum
Lineage: Eukaryota; Viridiplantae; Streptophyta; Magnoliopsida; Solanales; Solanaceae
Description: long non-coding RNA (CANN_LNC016194)
Source: RNAcentral
UGGAGUACAAAAUGGGACUCGUCCUUUUCCAGUGAUGCAACACAAUUACACCGCAUCGCACCAGAGGCCAAAAUGACAAUUGUCCUCUUUCUAGCAAGCCACCGUGAUUGUGGCGGGUCGCGCUGAGGCAUAAAAUCAGGAUUUUCAGUUUCAAACUAAUUUUUACAAAGGGCAACCUAGUCAUUUCCCAAGGCCCCAAUCAUGUAAAACACAAGAUUUAACCUAUUCUAAGUAUUAUAUGCUCAC